Long non-coding RNA from Strigops habroptila (Kakapo), 108 nucleotides. RefSeq lists it as uncharacterized. The transcript is spliced from 3 exons. NCBI's taxonomy places the organism in Eukaryota, Metazoa, Chordata, Aves, Psittaciformes, Psittacidae. The record is from RefSeq and is a predicted model, not a curated record.
ACCUGUUGCUCCAGAUCUGAGGUAGGUUUUCCAUCCCACUUUCUCAUGUCCUCUCCGUGAUCCCGCAGAUAAAGCCAUAAGGUGGCCUGUGGUGUAUAACUUCAAUAU